RNAcentral lists this long non-coding RNA (414 nucleotides) under Olea europaea (common olive). Its description in RNAcentral is "long non-coding RNA (OEUR_LNC010658)". Lineage: Eukaryota; Viridiplantae; Streptophyta; Magnoliopsida; Lamiales; Oleaceae. The record is from RNAcentral.
UAGUCCAUUGAAAUUAAUUGUUAUUGGGCUAAUGUGGGCUAAUAGAUUACAAUUCAGAUAAAAAAAAAAAAAAAAAAAUUGCACUUUUGAAACAAGAUGGAAAAUACGAGGGGAAGUUAAUUUUAUCAUCAUAAUAGCCAUCUCUAGAAAACUUAGUACUCAUCAGACCUCAGUCCAUGGAUAAGCUUCUUCAGCAGUGCACUCAGCUUGAGAGGUUGGAAAGAGCCAUUAUAAGAGAUUACUAUGUAUCAUUUGAGCCGAGAUUAGAUAGAACCUUAUCGUAGAUGGAGAGGUAGCGGAGCUUGAGGAUUCUGGGGCGAAGGAUUUUGGUGCUGUUGUUGGGGGUGAUGAUUUGGGGCUUUCUAAGGUUUUGGUUGGGAUGGGGUGGGUUGAGCGUAUUAAUUACGGGAUUUA